This 518-nucleotide ribosomal RNA is filed under the name uncultured microorganism. Its description in RNAcentral is "bacterial SSU rRNA". It matches the Rfam family "Bacterial small subunit ribosomal RNA", at positions 9 to 524 of the family's 1533-position model. The record is from RNAcentral.
GAGUUUGAUCCUGGCUCAGAUUGAACGCUGGCGGCAGGCCUAACACAUGCAAGCCGAGCGGAUGAAGGGAGCUUGCUCCUGGAUUCAGCGGCGGACGGGUGAGUAAUGCCUAGGAAUCUGCCUGGUAGUGGGGGAUAACGUCCGGAAACGGGCGCUAAUACCGCAUACGUCCUGAGGGAGAAAGUGGGGGAUCUUCGGACCUCACGCUAUCAGACGAGCCUAGGUCGGAUUAGCUAGUUGGUGGGGUAAAGGCCUACCAAGGCGACGAUCCGUAACUGGUCUGAGAGGAUGAUCAGUCACACUGGAACUGAGACACGGUCCAGACUCCUACGGGAGGCAGCAGUGGGGAAUAUUGGACAAUGGGCGAAAGCCUGAUCCAGCCAUGCCGCGUGUGUGAAGAAGGUCUUCGGAUUGUAAAGCACUUUAAGUUGGGAGGAAGGGCAGUAAGUUAUACCUUGCUGUUUUGACGUUACCAACAGAAUAAGCACCGGCUAACUUCGUGCCAGCCGCGCUGUAAC